Molecule: transfer RNA, 83 nt
Filed under: Chloroflexota bacterium
Lineage: Bacteria; Bacillati; Chloroflexota
Also listed under: 1 other name
Description: Chloroflexi bacterium (marine metagenome) tRNA-Tyr
Rfam family: tRNA
About the family: Transfer RNA (tRNA) molecules are approximately 80 nucleotides in length. Their secondary structure includes four short double-helical elements and three loops (D, anti-codon, and T loops). Further hydrogen bonds mediate the characteristic L-shaped molecular structure. tRNAs have two regions of fundamental functional importance: the anti-codon, which is responsible for specific mRNA codon recognition, and the 3' end, to which the tRNAs corresponding amino acid is attached (by aminoacyl-tRNA synthetases). tRNAs cope with the degeneracy of the genetic code in two manners: having more than one tRNA (with a specific anti-codon) for a particular amino acid; and 'wobble' base-pairing, i.e. permitting non-standard base-pairing at the 3rd anti-codon position.
Source: RNAcentral
GGGCGGAUACCCAAGUGGCCAAAGGGAGCUGACUGUAAAUCAGUUGUCAAACGACUUCGGCGGUUCGAAUCCGUCUCCGCCCA